AUUCCCUGCCCAAGUUCCCGCAGCUAGCAAUGGCGAGAUGUGGAAUACAAACCCACGUUCUUAAUCCAAAUGCUGCAUUCUCAGGCACGAUGUUCUCGUGCCUCCAAGUAGACAUUUGCUGAUUGAAUGGGGUUGAACAGCAACACAGGAGCAAGUGUGGCUAAGUGCCAAAUGGCUAGUGCAGUGGGAAUUUCUGCAGCAGUUGAGAAAGAGUAGACUGUCUCUAGAAGCUAUUGGUGCCACUAUGGGGCCGUCAGGUGGGUCAAGCAAGCAGCUGCUGGUGGGGAAGGCCUUUCUGGGCAGCCCAAGAGGAAGAGACCUCAUAGAAAAACCAAGCCAGAAAUGGCCACUCCGUCACCAGCCCCCUCUUAGGUCAUAUUUCAAAGACUGGCUCAGGGCCACCGGCUGGGGCGCGCGACUGUGAGAUCAUGGCUGAGCAAUCUGACUCUGAAAAAUAUAAGGACCAACUUGGGAGUUUUAUCACAUUUCUGCCGCCCAGGCAUGAAGUCAGCUGGACUGCGCGUGACAGGGAGCGAUCCUCUUGUAAUUAGCCGGGGUGUUUUUCUUUCAUGUUCUGCCUAAAUUCGGUGUGCUGCGAUCGCGUCCGCUCCCUCCGAGCUGCCCCACAGCAGUAGCGGAGGAUGAACCAUGUGAAAGUGCCAGUUUUGUGAGUCACCAUUGUGUAUGGUUCAACCUGGUACCUGUCAGUUAUCCAGUCUCGUGUGCCGAUGUCACUGUCACCGUGAGGUGUGGUUCUCAUUCCUGAAUCUGGAUGAAUUGGCUGGAAGCUCAGGAAGGAGGUUUCUCUUCAGGAAAGAAAUGGAAGAAUAUAAGCCUCCUGCUCCAGCAGCGCCCAUGGCUGCCUUCCAGCUGGGCCUGGAUCCUCUGCUAUCGUGGACCCCACCCUGCACGUUCCUGUCUGCAUCUGGAGGCCCCGCGGCCUCUGGCUGUUGGCCUACUAGAGCAAGGCAGACUUUCUCAGCCCAGCAAAGGCGUUGGCUCUGGAGACAAGAAGUUAGAGAGAACUCAAGAAGCCAAUGGAAAUGUCUGUCCAGCUCAUACUGAAACUACCUGGGCUUCCCCCCUGAACCUGGACUACUCUGAAAUGCCCACCUUUCCCUGGUACGAGUGA
Molecule: long non-coding RNA, 1132 nt
Filed under: Felis catus (domestic cat)
Lineage: Eukaryota; Metazoa; Chordata; Mammalia; Carnivora; Felidae
Description: lncRNA (ENSFCAG00000043826.2)
Source: RNAcentral